This 30-nucleotide non-coding RNA is filed under the name Homo sapiens (human). Lineage: Eukaryota; Metazoa; Chordata; Mammalia; Primates; Hominidae. The record is from RNAcentral.
UNGUUGCCACCAAGGAGCUGCUGAGGCCAC